GCCUUACACAUGCAGUCGAACGGUAACAGCUCUUCGGAGGCUGACGAGUGGCGAACGGGUGAGUAAUACAUCGGAACGUGCCCGAUCGUGGGGGAUAACGGAGCGAAAGCUUUGCUAAUACCGCAUACGAUCUACGGAUGAAAGCAGGGGACCCUCGGGCCUUGCGCGAACGGAGCGGCCGAUGGCAGAUUAGGUAGUUGGUGGGAUAAAAGCUUACCAAGCCGACGAUCUGUAGCUGGUCUGAGAGGACGACCAGCCACACUGGGACUGAGACACGGCCCAGACUCCUACGGGAGGCAGCAGUGGGGAAUUUUGGACAAUGGGCGAAAGCCUGAUCCAGCAAUGCCGCGUGCAGGAUGAAGGCCUUCGGGUUGUAAACUGCUUUCGUACGGAACGAAAAGUCUCGGGAUAAUACCCUGGGACCAUGACGGUACCGUAAGAAUAAGCACCGGCUAACUACGUGCCAGCAGCCGCGGUAAU
This 480-nucleotide ribosomal RNA is filed under the name uncultured bacterium. RNAcentral describes it as "bacterial SSU rRNA". It matches the Rfam family "Bacterial small subunit ribosomal RNA", at positions 46 to 524 of the family's 1533-position model. The record is from RNAcentral.